RNAcentral lists this ribosomal RNA (429 nucleotides) under Triticum aestivum (bread wheat). RNAcentral describes it as "partial small subunit ribosomal RNA". The record is from RNAcentral. Lineage: Eukaryota; Viridiplantae; Streptophyta; Magnoliopsida; Poales; Poaceae.
AUGCAACAGGCAACAUGGAUAGCCAUGAAUCCGCGAGCGAGCGAGCACAGAGGUGGCGCGGGGCUCGGUGGUCUGUGGUUUCAGGUUAUCAUCAGCUUCCACGGCAGACUGCAUGCAUUGCAAGCAGCCUCCUGCGUGGAUAGUGCAGUGCAGGCUUUACUUGCUUUCACUGUAGCAGUUUCAGGCUUCGGCCGCAGACAGCAGCACAGCAGAGCACACCACAGGUCAAAGGCAGCACGUUUCAUCACACAUGCUGACAUGCAUGCAGCUACCACCACUAUCAGGCCAGGCCUAGCCGCCGUGCUUCUCAUGUUUGCUACAGAAGAACAUGCACUCGUCCCUGUUCAACGUGUGUACACGUACGUAGAUCCGGGUUUUGUAUGUCGCACCUGUAGUGUCUCUCUUCCUCUGUAUUUACUUGUAUCUUAA